RNAcentral lists this ribosomal RNA (430 nucleotides) under uncultured bacterium. RNAcentral's name for it is "bacterial SSU rRNA". It matches the Rfam family "Bacterial small subunit ribosomal RNA", at positions 355 to 776 of the family's 1533-position model. The record is from RNAcentral.
UAGGGAAUCUUCCGCAAUGGACGAAAGUCUGACGGAGCGACGCCGCGUGAGUGAUGAAGGUCUUCGGAUCGUAAAACUCUGUUGUUAGGGAAGAACAAGUAUCGAUCGAAUAGGUCGGUACCUUGACGGUACCUAACCAGAAAGCCCCGGCUAACUACGUGCCAGCAGCCGCGGUAAUACGUAGGGGGCGAGCGUUGUCCGGAAUUAUUGGGCGUAAAGGGCUCGCAGGCGGUCUUCUAAGUCUGAUGUGAAAUCUCGUAGCUUAACUACGAGCGGUCAUUGGAAACUGGGAGACUUGAGGACAGAAGAGGAGAGUGGAAUUCCACGUGUAGCGGUGAAAUGCGUAGAGAUGUGGAGGAACACCAGUGGCGAAGGCGACUCUCUGGUCUGUAACUGACGCUGAGGAGCGAAAGCGUGGGGAGCGAACAGG